GCUUGCAUCAUGAUUUACAUUUGAGUGAGUGGCGAACUGGUGAGUAACACGUGGGAAACCUGCCCAGAAGCGGGGGAUAACACCUGGAAACAGAUGCUAAUACCGCAUAACAACUUGGACCGCAUGGUCCGAGCUUGAAAGAUGGCUUCGGCUAUCACUUUUGGAUGGUCCCGCGGCGUAUUAGCUAGAUGGUGGGGUAACGGCUCACCAUGGCAAUGAUACGUAGCCGACCUGAGAGGGUAAUCGGCCACAUUGGGACUGAGACACGGCCCAAACUCCUACGGGAGGCAGCAGUAGGGAAUCUUCCACAAUGGACGAAAGUCUGAUGGAGCAACGCCGCGUGAGUGAAGAAGGGUUUCGGCUCGUAAAACUCUGUUGUUAAAGAAGAACAUAUCUGAGAGUAACUGUUCAGGUAUUGACGGUAUUUAACCAGAAAGCCACGGCUAACUACGUGCCAGCAGCCGCGGUAAUACGUAGGUGGCAAGCGUUGUCCGGAUUUAUUGGGCGUAAAGCGAGCGCAGGCGGUUUUUUAAGUCUGAUGUGAAAGCCUUCGGCUCAACCGAAGAAGUGCAUCGGAAACUGGGAAACUUGAGUGCAGAAGAGGACAGUGGAACUCCAUGUGUAGCGGUGAAAUGCGUAGAUAUAUGGAAGAACACCAGUGGCGAAGGCGGCUGUCUGGUCUGUAACUGACGCUGAGGCUCGAAAGUAUGGGUAGCAAACAGGAUUAGAUACCCUGGUAGUCCAUACCGUAAACGAUGAAUGCUAAGUGUUGGAGGGUUUCCGCCCUUCAGUGCUGCAGCUAACGCAUUAAGCAUUCCGCCUGGGGAGUACGGCCGCAAGGCUGAAACUCAAAGGAAUUGACGGGGGCCCGCACAAGCGGUGGAGCAUGUGGUUUAAUUCGAAGCUACGCGAAGAACCUUACCAGGUCUUGACAUACUAUGCAAAUCUAAGAGAUUAGACGUUCCCUUCGGGGACAUGGAUACAGGUGGUGCAUGGUUGUCGUCAGCUCGUGUCGUGAGAUGUUGGGUUAAGUCCCGCAACGAGCGCAACCCUUAUUAUCAGUUGCCAGCAUUAAGUUGGGCCACUCUGG
Molecule: ribosomal RNA, 1090 nt
Filed under: Lactiplantibacillus plantarum
Lineage: Bacteria; Bacillati; Bacillota; Bacilli; Lactobacillales; Lactobacillaceae
Description: bacterial SSU rRNA
Rfam family: Bacterial small subunit ribosomal RNA
Source: RNAcentral